Molecule: long non-coding RNA, 1242 nt
Organism: Cololabis saira (Pacific saury)
Lineage: Eukaryota; Metazoa; Chordata; Actinopteri; Beloniformes; Belonidae
Exons: 3
Source: RefSeq, a predicted model, not a curated record
UAGGGAUCGCGGCGACGCGCACCGUACGCUGCGUAGGCUCUGCGUUGGUGUAACGCGGAACCAUAAAUCAGGCUUUAGGAGGAGUUUGCGGGUUUCGGGUGUCGAGGAAACAUCUGGAACUGACAGGGAAGAAAAAAAAAAUCUGAGAGUAAAAGGUGUGGCUGAGGAUUUUGUAAGGUUCAGAAAAUUGUUACAGAAUUGUCUGCAAACGAGAGCGACAAGACACUACAGCAAAGAUUUUGAGCAUUUGCUCAGUAAACCAAAGAUAUUACAAAGGCCUAACAUAUGUAUUACUGUUGGUCUGCGCACCUUUUAAAGCUUAACCCCUCCCCACAUCUGCUCUGAUUAACUGGACUGUUGCGCAGUUAAGACUCGUGAAUUUCUAUAAUUUUUAUUUAUUUUUUACAUUUUUUUUUGUCUUUACUGCUUUGCGGAUCGUGUAGGUUUCAUAAGUGUGUGAUAUGUAACAGACGUGGCAACUUUACAGUAGCCAGCCCAGCUGAGUGCCACAGGCAAAACUGGGCGUGGGGGGAAGCGGUCCAAAAAGAGACUAAUGAUCCACAGAUCUUUCUCAAGAGAGGUGCAAAUGUGCGCAUAUUUGUAAUAGCACGACUACACUUAACCUGCGCUUCAGUGGAGCCCAGUAGAUUGAAGUACGUGCGACUGUCAAACGCUAUUUGGAAACUUUUUUAGCGAAGGUGACAUUUAAAGGCACACGAAAUGUCGUGUGUGUGAUAGGGUUUAGUUCAGACUGUGGUUUUGUUUCAGUUCAAGCAGCCGUGCUUUUAUGAAAGUCUGUAUUUUCUGGUCACUGGGAUGGAGCGGGUGUGUCCUCAGCAAUGAAUGUACAUCCAAGCAGAAGAAAUGUGCCUACAGCAGAUCUCCACGUCUUUUAACCAGCUUAACAAACCAGACGUCGGGAUGGAUCUUCCUGCAGGGAUCUAGAGGUGUGGAGCGGCCCAGAGACGAAUGAAUGCCACCUACGCCACGGGACCAGGGUGGCUUACACCUGCGGCAGCUGUUUCGCCAGCUGCGAAGAGCAAAACAGAAUUGCAAAGCAUGAUGAACGCACAGCUGCUGCAAACGGAUGUGGAGGAAGAUCUUUAAAGGAGGACUGAUUCCACAGAAACACUGCCGUCAAACAAGAUUUAGUACCGACUCAUAAAGCUUUUCUGAUCUAAUUGAACACAUGCAUUCUGCUUCUAUCAGUAUGUACGUUAUAAGAAUAAACAUUUAAGCUUA